This 245-nucleotide ribosomal RNA is filed under the name uncultured archaeon. Its description in RNAcentral is "partial 16S ribosomal RNA". It matches the Rfam family "Archaeal small subunit ribosomal RNA", at positions 474 to 719 of the family's 1478-position model. The record is from RNAcentral.
UACCAGCUCCUCGAGUGGUCGGGGCGAUUAUUGGGCCUAAAGCAUCCGUAGCCGGUUCCGUAGGUCCUCUGUUAAAUCCAUCAGCUCAACUGAUGACCUGCAGAGGAUACCGCGGGACUAGGAGGCGGGAGAGGCGGACGGUACUCCGCGUGUAGGGGUAAAAUCCUUUGAUCCGCGGAAGACCACCAGUGGCGAAGGCGGUCCGCCAGAACGCGCUCGACGGUGAGGGAUGAAAGCUGGGGGAG